This 433-nucleotide small RNA is filed under the name Pan troglodytes (chimpanzee). Its description in RNAcentral is "retained intron". Lineage: Eukaryota; Metazoa; Chordata; Mammalia; Primates; Hominidae. The record is from RNAcentral.
GGCCGCAGUCCGGGUCCUGGCUUCGGCCUCAGCCCCACCAUGGUGACGCUUGCUGAACUGCUGGUGCUCCUGGCCGCUCUCCUGGCUACGGUCUCGGGCUAUUUCGUUAGCAUCGACGCGCAUGCUGAAGAGUGCUUCUUUGAGCGGGUCACCUCGGGCACCAAGAUGGGCCUCAUCUUCGAGGUGGCGGAGGGCGGCUUCCUGGACAUCGACGUGGAGAUUACAGGACCAGAUAACAAAGGAAUUUACAAAGGAGACAGAGAAUCCAGUGGGAAAUACACAUUUGCUGCUCACAUGGAUGGAACAUACAAAUUUUGUUUUAGUAACCGGAUGUCCACCAUGACUCCAAAAAUAGUGAUGUUCACCAUUGAUAUUGGGGAGGCUCCGAAAGGACAAGAUAUGGAAACAGAAGGUGAGAUGAACAUUCAGAAGA